CGGGAUUAUUGGGCGUAAGAGCUCGUAGGUGGUUGGUCACGUCUGCUGUGGAAACGCAACACUUAACGUUGCGCGUGCAGUGGGUACGGGCUGACUAGAGUGCAGUAGGGGAGUCUGGAAUUCCUGGUGUAGCGGUGAAAUGCGCAGAUAUCAGGAGGAACACCGGUGGCGAAGGCGGGACUCUGGGCUGUAACUGACACUGAGGAGCGAAAGCAUGGGGAGCGAACAGGAUUAGAUACCCUGGUAGUCCAUGCCGUAAACGUUGGGCACUAGGUGUGGGGGACAUUCCACGUUCUCCGCGCCGUAGCUAACGCAUUAAGUGCCCCGCCUGGGGAGUACGGUCGCAAGGCUAAAACUCAAAGGAAUUGACGGGGGCCCGCACAAGCGGCGGAGCAUGCGGAUUAAUUCGAUGCAACGCGAAGAACCUUACCAAGGCUUGACAUACACUGGACCGUUCUGGAAACAGUUCUUCUCUUUGGAGCUGGUGUACAGGUGGUGCAUGGUUGUCGUCAGCUCGUGUCGUGAGAUGUUGGGUUAAGUCCCGCAACGAGCGCAACCCUCGUUCUAUGUUGCCAGCACGUGAUGGUGGGAACUCAUAGGAGACUGCCGGGGUCAACUCGGAGGAAGGUGGGGAUGACGUCAAAUCAUCAUGCCCUUUAUGUCUUGGGCUUCACGCAUGCUACAAUGGCUGGUACAGAGAGAGGCGAACCCGUGAGGGUGAGCGAAUCCCUUAAAGCCAGUCUCAGUUCGGAUCGUAGUCUGCAAUUCGACUACGUGAAGUCGGAGUCGCUAGUAAUCGCAGAUCAGCAACGCUGCGGUGAAUACGUUUCCGGGCC
Molecule: ribosomal RNA, 836 nt
Filed under: uncultured bacterium
Lineage: Bacteria
Description: bacterial SSU rRNA
Rfam family: Bacterial small subunit ribosomal RNA
Source: RNAcentral